CCUACGGGGGUCAGCAGUGGGGAAUAUUGGACAAUGGGGGCAACCCUGAUCCAGCCAUGCCGCGUGUGUGAAGAAGGCCCUCGGGUUGUAAAGCACUUUCAGUGAGGAAGAACGCCUGGUGGUUAAUACCCAUCAGGAAAGACAUCACUCACAGAAGAAGCACCGGCUAACUCCGUGCCAGCAGCCGCGGUAAUACGGAGGGUGCGAGCGUUAAUCGGAAUUACUGGGCGUAAAGCGCGCGUAGGUGGCUUGAUAAGCCGGUUGUGAAAGCCCCGGGCUCAACCUGGGAACGGCAUCCGGAACUGUCAAGCUAGAGUGCAGGAGAGGAAGGUAGAAUUCCCGGUGUAGCGGUGAAAUGCGUAGAGAUCGGGAGGAAUACCAGUGGCGAAGGCGGCCUUCUGGACUGACACUGACACUGAGGUGCGAAAGCGUGGGUAGCAAACAGGAUUAGAUACCCUUGUAGUC
This 465-nucleotide ribosomal RNA is filed under the name Vreelandella stevensii. RNAcentral's name for it is "partial 16S ribosomal RNA". It matches the Rfam family "Bacterial small subunit ribosomal RNA", at positions 338 to 795 of the family's 1533-position model. Lineage: Bacteria; Pseudomonadati; Pseudomonadota; Gammaproteobacteria; Oceanospirillales; Halomonadaceae. The record is from RNAcentral.